Maylandia zebra (zebra mbuna) is the source of this 252-nucleotide long non-coding RNA. RefSeq lists it as uncharacterized. NCBI's taxonomy places the organism in Eukaryota, Metazoa, Chordata, Actinopteri, Cichliformes, Cichlidae. The record is from RefSeq and is a predicted model, not a curated record.
GCCAACUGAACAUAUACGAGAUUUUAAUGAGGAUGAAUAAUUAGCCGGCAUGGAGGAAACGGACCUUUAUUUCAUGGAGUGGCGACAAGAAGCCAAGGCGGGUGGCCAGUCUAAGAAGCCUCCAUCAUCAAGCUAGCAGAAAUCCUACCUCUCCUUCUGGCUACAGAGUACUUACCAAGCCCAUGAAAUCGAAUGCAGAUCUUCCUAAUGUGAGAUUUACAUAAAUGUAAGUAAUUUUGUUUGUCAUUGUCA